This 19-nucleotide microRNA is filed under the name Macaca mulatta (Rhesus monkey). RNAcentral describes it as "mml-miR-6128". Lineage: Eukaryota; Metazoa; Chordata; Mammalia; Primates; Cercopithecidae. RNAcentral also lists the same sequence under 2 other names. The record is from miRBase by way of RNAcentral.
ACUGGAAUUGGAGUCAAAA